CCUACGGGGGGCAGCAGCGAGGAAUCUUGGUCAAUGGGCGCAAGCCUGAACCAGCGACGCCGCGUGCAGGAUGAAGGCCCUCGGGUCGUAAACUGCUUUUGGGUGGGACGAAGAUCUGACGGUACCACCCGAAUCAGCCACGGCUAACUACGUGCCAGCAGCCGCGGUAAUACGUAGGUGGCAAGCGUUGUCCGGAUUUAUUGGGCGUAAAGCGCGCGCAGGCGGUUCGUUCAGUCCGAUGUGAAAGCUCCCGGCUCACCUGGGAGAGGUCAUGGGAUACUGGCGGACUGGAGGGAGGCAGAGGACGGUGGAAUUCCCGGUGUAGUGGUGAAAUGCGUAGAGAUCGGGAGGAACACCAGUGGCGAAGGCGGCCGUCUGGGCCUUACCUGACGCUGAGGCGCGAAAGCGUGGGGAGCGAACCGGAUUAGAUACCCUGGUAG
This 440-nucleotide ribosomal RNA is filed under the name uncultured bacterium. RNAcentral's name for it is "bacterial SSU rRNA". It matches the Rfam family "Bacterial small subunit ribosomal RNA", at positions 338 to 793 of the family's 1533-position model. The record is from RNAcentral.